Molecule: ribosomal RNA, 468 nt
Filed under: uncultured bacterium
Lineage: Bacteria
Description: partial 16S ribosomal RNA
Rfam family: Bacterial small subunit ribosomal RNA
Source: RNAcentral
GACGAACGCUGGCGGCGUGCUUAACACAUGCAAGUCGAACGGAAAGGCCCUGCUUUUGUGGGGUGCUCGAGUGGCGAACGGGUGAGUAACACGUGAGUAACCUGCCCUUGACUUUGGGAUAACUUCAGGAAACUGGGGCUAAUAUCGGAUAGGAGCUCCUGCUGCAUGGUGGGGGUUGGAAAGUUUCGGCGGUUGGGGAUGGACUCGCGGCUUAUCAGCUUGUUGGUGGGGUAGUGGCUUACCAAGGGUUUGACGGGUAGCCGGCCUGAGAGGGUGACCGGGCACAUUGGGACUGAGGUACGGCGCAGACUCGUACGGGAGGCAGCAGUCGGGAGUAUUGCACAGUGGGCGGAAGCCUGAUACAGAGACGCCGCGUGCGGGAUGACGGCCUUCGGGUUGUAAACCGCUUUCGCCUGUGACGAAGCGGGAGUGACGGUAAUGAGUAAAGAAGCACCGGCUAACUACGUG